UUUUGUUGAAACUUUGCUUCUAUUUUAAGGAAAAUAAGAAGCAAACUGUAGAGUGUGUAGACCAUGCACAUUCCAGACAAAGAGUUAUCUUUCUCUUCCGAAAGUUAGUUAUGGAGUCAAAUAUACAUUCUAAAACAGCUCGUAAGUCAUAGCAGGUGAUGUGUUGUCUGUCAUAGUGUGUUUGCCUGAGGACCGUUAGCCUCAAGGAUUUAGAAAAUGUAACGUUGUCUGUUGCAUGGAGAUGUGAAGCACUGCACAGCAGAAUACAGUGAUCAACUAAAAGCAGCAAAGGCUGAAAUAUUCAUGCAUAUAACAUAAGGCUCUGGUUGUCAAUGUGAUUCUCAUUUCAACACCAGGAUGCCAUGGAGAGCUCACAGUCUAGGCCUGCUGUUGACAGGCUGUUGGACUCCGCCGACCUGAGGAGUGGAGCUGGACUCCAGAGACCUCAGGAAUCGGCCAGCCUCACAUUCUCCUACCUUCAAGGCACCCACCCAGGGGAGCUUCCACCUAUCUCAGGUACUGCUUCCUGAAUGCCAUGAUGGGGACAAUGAAGAUGAUGACGAUGGAGUAGAUGAGCCCGAUGAUGCCAGGCAUUCGUUGGGCUUAAGAGGAGGGCCUUGUGGGAAUGCAAGUGUUGCAGAGGCCUCAGACGGUACCAGUGAGGAUGACAACACUCCCCUUUCAACCUCCCUGGAACCCAAGUAUUUCUCCCAGAGCAUCCACCAGGACACAGAAGAUUCAGAUGAUGGGUGGAAUUAUUGCCUAGACAACCUGGAGCAGGAAUUUAAACAAGGUUGUCUUUAUCAGUGAUGUUAAGAUCUUUACCGAGUUAAUGCUCUGUUCUACAAUCUCAAUACAUAUUGAGGCUUGUUUCUUGGUGUAAGUGUAUGUAUAUACGUGUUAACAGCAUGGCUCUCCUCUUCAGGUGCACCUGCCACACAGUGUGGUUUACCAGAACGAUGAAGGACAGUGGGUGACUGACCUGGCACUCACAUAAUGAAUAAAACACUACAUUUAUAGCCAUGAGGUGGACACACAAGAUAUGUAUUUUAAUGCUUGUUGCACCAGCCGUGGUGUCUUGUUAAAAUACUAUUUAUUGUUGUUUAUUUCUGCUUGAUUGUCUAUAGAGUUUUGUCUCUUUUCUGGUUAAUUCUAGUAAAGCUAUGAUGAGGAAGUGUAUUGAUAUCAGCUGUAUGCACACACGCAGCACAGUGCCUUCUACAGCAGGAACUGUGUUUAUUUUUUUAUUUUUACUUGCACUUAUUUCAGACAUUAUCUUAAUAAGAAGUUUCUUAACCCCAAAGAAAAAAUGUCAUUUCUACUUGUAGUAUAUUUUAAAUGACCUCAAUUUUACUUAAGUAACAUUUUUUAUAAAUAAAAGUUGUUUACUUAGUAUAAUACUCACAAUUGAAAACAAUAUUAACCUCUUAGAGCAGGAAAGAUGCAGUAAAUGUAAAACUAAAGUCCAUUAAAGUCCACUGUGUAUUAAAGCAUUACAUUAGGCUUGUUAUUUUAUCCACAUAUAAGAGCCCGGAACAGCCGGCAGACUUCAGUCUCAGCUUCCUGCAUCUGAUCAAAUCACACCUGGUGUUUGCUUUCUACUCUGUCCUUUAAAAUCUGAUGCAACAUCCAGCAGUGUUCUCUGGAACUUUCCCAUUCAAUAAUCAUGCUUCCUUAAAUGUGAAACACAGAAAAGAGUUGACCCAGCCUUCGUGUAGUUCCAUAGAGUGAAUAUAUAUCAAUUGCAGUUCUACAUUUGACACUCAUACUCUGAUCAUUAGUUUCCAGUAAACCUGAAAAUCUAACUUCAGGUUGAACUGCUGCGUUUUGUCAAAUUCUCAGGGUUUACCUAUUGUAAUCAGAUCACCAUAUAUCAUCAAAUUGAUUCUGUUAUAAAAAAUAAAAUAUCACUCGUCA
Molecule: long non-coding RNA, 1917 nt
Organism: Gymnodraco acuticeps
Lineage: Eukaryota; Metazoa; Chordata; Actinopteri; Perciformes; Bathydraconidae
Exons: 2
Source: RefSeq, a predicted model, not a curated record